Molecule: long non-coding RNA, 4810 nt
Organism: Anguilla rostrata (American eel)
Lineage: Eukaryota; Metazoa; Chordata; Actinopteri; Anguilliformes; Anguillidae
Exons: 3
Source: RefSeq, a predicted model, not a curated record
CCUGUGUGGGGCUGGGAAUGCAUUCCUUGACAUGUACUGCAAUUUCCAGGAUGUAUUUCCCUUCUCCUUCCUCUUUGGGUGACGCAAAGGGGUGUCAUUUUCUCCGACUCCGCAUUACUGAUGGGAAUCUGAUGAGACGGGUGUUCCGGAGUUUCCAUUUGAAAGUGCAUCAACAGCUGGCAAAACUGCAGAUGACGUCUCUCUGCCACUCAAAGAUAAGUGCCCUGCUGACAGAUGAUUCCCCUUGUUGUUGAGGUGGAGAUGAAGAUGUCAUUGUCCAUUGGAGAAAUAUCUGGUUGAGAGAUGCACUGGAAAGGCGAUACAUGCCACUGCCUGGCAACCCUCUCCAGGAUACACAUGGAGCUAAGGACACCAGUGACCAUCGCCUGGCAACUGAGUGAAGGAGGCCUGUUAUUUAUUUAUUUAUUUUUUUCCCAUUUUCUCCCCAAUUUAGUCGUUAUACCAAUGCUCCUUGUGUAUCACAGUCCUGGUCGAGGCGCUAUCCUCUGUCGGUCUGGGGAGGGUGUAGACUACCACACAGCAGCCUCCGAUACAUGUGUAGUCACCAGCCGCUUCUUUUCACCUGACAGCGAGGAGUUUCACUGGGAGAGCGUAACGCGUGCGGAGGUUCACGCUAUCUCCCCCAGAUCCCCUCUCUGCUGAACAGGCGCCCCAACCAACCAGUAGGAGUCGCUAAUGCAACAAUCAGGACUCAUACCAUACGUAAGAACGUUGGACCAAGCCGGAAGUACCGCUGCCUGGUCUAUGUGGUGGUAGGCAAGUGCUUAUACCUCUACGCUACCUAGACGGCCGAUGCCUGUUAUUGAUGAGGCUAAGGGCAGGGCAGCAUAAUUAAAACAAAGCAGGACUAUAUCUGCAUCUUCUGGGAGUCUGAUUAGUCUGCCACUUCUGAAGAUUCUGACAACUCUGCGCUUUUCCUACAAGCCUGCUUGAUCACUUGCCACUUCUGUUUAGCUAUGGAAAAUUAUUUUGAAGACCGAGUACUGGUUGAAACAAGUUGUCAGAGAUAUUCAUUUUUAAACUUUUGCAAGGGAUUGGUGUUUCCGAGCAUGUGUGUGUGUGCAUGUGUGUGUUCCUGUGUGUGCAUAUUCCAGCCCCUCAUUCGAUCAGCGCUGCACUUUUGGCCAUUCAGCCGCUGAGCUGUUCUGCAUGCCCUCUUUUUUAAAGGAAUGGAAUCAACCAACUCACAGUUAUAACAAAACAGUUGUUAAGACAAAUCAACUCUCAGUUACAAGGAUAUUUUAAAUACUUUAAAUACUUCACAGUGCGGUUCUCUUGAGGCAGCAGGACAGGCCAGACACGGACCAGGAGAGGACAACCUCCUGAAUUUGAUGUGCAACCUCCAGAAUUUAAAAUACGAACUCUUGAAUUUGUUGCACAACCUCUGGGAUUUAAUGUGCACCCUCCUGCAUAUUAUGCCUUCGAGCACACCUACCUGAAUAAUGGAGGGGGCAGGUAGCCCUGACCCAGUGUUCUGUAAGGAAAGUGUAGCUCUUUUGUUUCUUUCUAUUUUCCAUGCAUUGCUUUCAACAUUCUCUUAGAACAUAUUUAUCUUCAGAGAGGGCCACACUGCAUAGGGAAAUGCAAUCCAAGUCCUUGCAUAUUCAUGGCCCCAAAUUAAGGACUCAGCAAUAACUAAAAACGGCAUCAAGAGCCAUGCACAGUUAGAUCAAUCAUUUGACGUGAGCGAUCACCCUUCAUGAAGCCGCAACAGUGAGUGAUGGCGAGUAUUCCCAAAAUGCUGAUUAUAGGAAACAGCUUGUUUCCUGUUGCCAUGGCAACAUACCACUGAUUGUGUUCCGGCCCAAUGACCCAUCAGUCUGCGUCCUUCCUGUGCCCAGGUGCAGGUGGUGGACCACAGUGUAGUAUAAUGCUUAGGGAACUGGACUCACAACUCCAAGGGUGUAGGCAUGAUUCCCAGGUGGAGCACCUAUACAAGUACCCAACCCAAAUUGCUUUGGUGAGUAUCCAACUCGAUAAAUUGUUUGCAUGUUAAAAGAAUGUAAGCUGUUUAAGUCCACUUUAGAUAAGUCUGGUCUGGUUUGUUUAUAGGCUUAUGUGUAUGGGUUUAUGUGCAGUCUCCUUGGAUUUUUUUAUUUUUAGUGUGGACUCUGUUUAGUGCCAGUGCAACAAAUAGCUCCCCAUGGCAGGGUUUUCUAUUAUUAUUUUAAAGCACAGAUAAAAGCUGUGUGGUGUCACUGGAAGCCUGGACUUACCAAGUGGCCCACAGGGCACAUGACUGGCAUGAAAUGCAAAUCCAGCCUUCGGACACUCUGCAGAGUGAAAAAUAUAUCUCAAAAAGGGAGUAUUGUGAUCAGCAUUGCUGAUACGGUAGGGAGUGCGUGAGCAGUUGCAUUAGUGAUGAUGUAGGGAGUAGGGAGUGAGGGAGCUAUUUUGUUUAGUGGUGCUGUAGAAAGAAGGGAACAAUGGAGCAGUUCCAUGUGAUCAGGGACCAAUCAAAUUGCUGACAGAUUAGGUAAUGCCCCUGAUGUUAACGUGGCCUGCACCCGCUCCGCCAAGAGCAAGAUUCACAGGCUGCUGUCAGACAAUUUGGCAAAGUCAGAUGGAGAUCAUAGUUAAUGAAUCCAGCAUGGGAUUUCUGAAUGAUAUGAAGUGGUGGGAAGCUAAACACUUAUGUAAUUAGCAUAUAAAUGAGACCAGUGUCAAGCCUGUGCAAUUACAGAGGAACUGCCCCGAAAUAUGUGCUCUGCAAAUAUAGGAUCAUUUCCCUUCGAGGAGUAAAUCUGUGCAAAGAAAAUCGAAGUGCUCUAAUAUAUUACAUAGACUGUGAUAUUAUUAAUUCAAAGAAAAUGAAUAUGUAAAAACUGACUAAAACUAAAAGGAAGACUGGGGUUUUGCUAAUGCCAGAAUAAACUGCAGCUUUCAGCUUUCAGAGCUUCCUGUAAGAUUGCCAGGGUACCUUUAUUUUAUAUGCCACUGUCAUUUCCCCAUGUAUAUUGUCUCAAACUGGGUUCAGAGUCUAGUGUCCACCUUUGAUGAUUUAUUGUGACCGAAUAUGAUCACAUUAUAUGUUCAUUUCACAUAUAUUGACCCUGGAAACCGAAGGCAUUCUAGUCACAGACCAGUCCCCAUCCUCUAAACAGUUCUAUCACUAACUGCUGCCAAAUUUUAUUCAACAGGUAACAACCUGGCAUACCAUCAGGCAGUCAGUCAUCAAAACAUAACCAAUUACUGCAACCCAACUUCAAUUCCACCAUGCAGAACAGGUCCUGGAGGGCUGCAUUGUCCACAGUUUUUUAUGGCUUGCUUUCAACCUGCAGCCAAUUAAAGACUUGAGAACAAGAUUUAUGGAUUCUGUAACCAAUCAACGACUUAAAUGAAUCACUGGUGCUGCACCAUACUGAAAAUAUGCAGACACUAUGGCCCUCCUAGCUGGUGUCACAAUAGAAAUAAUGUAAUCUAGUUCUGAAAUUUUAUGCACGUUUACAAGUUGCAAGGCAGAGCGGCAUGGUGGUUGAGUGGGUAGCUCUGUAGCACGGUCCUUGGCUAAAAUCCUGGCUUUUCUGUGAGGAGUUUGCAUGUAAUAAGCAAGGAAUAAGCAGGUAUAGAUAAUGGGUGGAUGAAGUUGCCUUGACUAAACUGCUAACCUGCAUGAUAAAUCUUCAAUUGUGAUAAUUUAUGUAAGCAGCUCUGUUUCAAAUCUCAGGGCUUUGAUCCAACUUUAUUCAAUGUUUAGUUAUGAAAUUAACAGUACAUGGGCUGGAUGAAUACUUUCAAUAUAUACAAAAAUGACAAUAUAUGUAACAUACAUGUAAAAUAACAAUUUUUUUUGAAAGAUAUUUUACAUAUUAUAAAUGAUGCCAUUUGCAAAAUACACAUACUGCCUUGGUUGUUUUGGACACUUUCACAUGUUAUAGCUAUAGCUAUGGCUUUACUUCAUCUCUGAAUGGAAAUAAUACAAAAAAUAAUAAUAAUUCAAUGACAUGAUAUGAAAAAUAAAACAAAAUGUUAAAUAAGUAGAUGCCAAUAAAAAGUUAAUGUGUGUGGACCUAAAUGGCAUCAGAAUCCAGGCAAAAAAAAAAUAAAGUGCUCUGGUCUUUUUAUCAGAGAGAGUGACUAAAGAACAAACUCUCGUAAUGAAGUAAAGAAAAUAUAAAGAACUGUAGAAAAUAAAUUUCCAUCUGCCCGUGGCGCUGUAGCAGAAUGUUUGUCAAAUGACCGUUGCCUGUCAGUCUGACACACAGACAAAUUACUCGGCACUUGGUAUUCUGUUCAGGUGCUGUUUGUGCCACACAUGGAAGCCUGAUAGGUGCGAGUAACCACAGAAAGCAGAGUCUCCCCACAGAUGAUCACACCCUUCUUUCACUGAUUAAUGAGCUCAGGUGUCAUUUGUUAUCCUGGCACCUCAGUUAACGAACGGGAAGAGACAUUAGCAUAUCAAAGCGGCUCAUAAUGCACCACAUGAGACUCUCAAAACUGAAAGUUUUCAGUGUUUCAAAAUGCUGCCCGUUUGUGAAUUUGGCAGAGGCUGAACCAGCAGAACCAAGUGGCGACUGCACCAAAUCAGGAAGCUAGAAUUUCCCUGGUUUUCCAAGGUUGGCUCUAUUAAUCAGUCGUGAUGCACUGAAAGACCUCAACUGUUGGCAUGGUCUUGGUCAACUGAUGCAAGAUAAUGUAACUCUUAUGGAUUACCGUUGGACAUCAAGUGAAGACAGCAACUUUGGAAACCUUCUGACAUCAGAGUCUAGACUGAUGGGCAAAGGUGUGUGUGUGUGUACUGUGUAGGUUUCCUUUCAAAUUAUGUACAGGUUGUAAAAUGUUUGUGAUU